AUUCCAGCUCCAGUAGCGUAUAUUAAAGUUGUUGCAGUUAAAAAGCUCGUAGUUGGAUUUCUGGCAAGGCAGAGCUAACCUGGUACUAUGUAUCGUGUGUUGGACUCGGUCUGCCAUCCUUCCAGAAAAGCAUCAUACCCUUCAUUGGGCCGUGGUGAUAGAUCUGGAACUUUUACUUUGAAAAAAUUAGAGUGUUCAAAGCAGGCGUUACGCUAUGAAUACAUUAGCAUGGAAUAAUAAUUUAGGACUUCAGUUCUAUUUUGUUGGUUUCUAGGACCGAAGUAAUGAUUGAUAGGGAUAGUUGGGGGUGCUAGUAUUCAGCGGCCAGAGGUGAAAUUCUUGGAUUCGCUGAAGACUAACUUAUGCGAAAGCAUUCACCAAGGAUGUCUUCAUUG
RNAcentral lists this ribosomal RNA (395 nucleotides) under Marimonadida sp. RNAcentral describes it as "partial small subunit ribosomal RNA". It matches the Rfam family "Eukaryotic small subunit ribosomal RNA", at positions 582 to 975 of the family's 1831-position model. Lineage: Eukaryota; Cercozoa; Imbricatea; Marimonadida. The record is from RNAcentral.